This 565-nucleotide long non-coding RNA is filed under the name Anas platyrhynchos (mallard). RNAcentral's name for it is "lncRNA (ENSAPLG00020008277.1)". Lineage: Eukaryota; Metazoa; Chordata; Aves; Anseriformes; Anatidae. The record is from RNAcentral.
GGCACGAGGCCAUUGCUACCUGGAAGGAAGGAUUUUGAUCAGACUGCAGAAGAUGAACAGGCAGGAGAGCUGAAAGAAUGAAAGGCUGAGGCAAAUGGCAAGGUAGCAAGAGCAUCACAUUUGGACCUCUGACUGCGAGGACUGUAAAGCACGUUCAUGAACCACAAAGCAGAUGGAUUUGGAGGUAUGUUGUACCAACAACUCAGAGCAACAGAGUACUUGCCUGGGCAGAAUUACAAACCACAACGUGAAUAAUUUGGUGAGUUUUACUAAAAAGAUUUGCUGUUUUUCUUCCCAGGAACUGUGCAAUUUUCUGUGCACAGGAGAAAUUCUCAUUUCUACUUCAAUGGCAGGGUGCAUUGUCACCUUACAGGAGCAGGUACUGACUGUUGCUUCUGAUUUGGGGGGCUCAAAUCCAUGCAAUUUUCAUCUGGGCUGGGUUCUCGUAGGUGGACUGUUCAUCAUGGCUCUAGAUUUUCAAAAUAAAUUAGCAGUUUUGGAUCCCUUAUAUUUGCAUUUGAGACACUUUGAAAAGGGAACAAUUGCCGGAGAGCCAGGUGUUUAG